This 580-nucleotide long non-coding RNA is filed under the name Pelobates cultripes (western spadefoot toad). The record is from RNAcentral. Lineage: Eukaryota; Metazoa; Chordata; Amphibia; Anura; Pelobatidae.
CCCAUUAAAACAAGAAAUGCAAUGUGUGGGAGGAUGGCAGAAGCAGGCAAAGGUCCCCAACACCUUAAGGACACACAACAGAAAUAUUCCGUCAUGAUUCCCUUAAAUUCCAGAAGAUGUGUCCCCAAGGGGCUAAAGAUCCUCUUACCGGUUAUCUGCGUUCCCAAUUGCACCCAAACUUCUGACACCAGUUUGUUGGGGAUAAAAUCAGCCCGGGCCCUUUGUGGAUGAUGGAUAUUUGCCAACUCAUACAGAGCUCUGGAAAUUGGAAAUGAAUAGCAGAGACAUGUUCAAUAACCAAUUCAAAUUGUAUUCAUACGUCAGUUAUAUUUAUACCCCAUUUUCAUAGCAGGAUGGGAGGGGGAAAAUGAGCAUAUGGGCGUGACAAUGACAUUGUUUUUCACAAGUUAUAAACAGCUGUUUUUAGUUAUAAUUCAAUGUUACAUAAUGUAUGCAUAUUGGAUAAAACCCAGAUGAUUACAAAUACCGAAAUCUUGGACAAUUAACAAGGUCAUUCCAGAAUCCUUAUCAUGUCAUGUCAUGUCAUGUAAAUAUCCUUUUCCAGGAACAUAACAAAAUC